Molecule: long non-coding RNA, 1224 nt
Filed under: Oncorhynchus mykiss (rainbow trout)
Lineage: Eukaryota; Metazoa; Chordata; Actinopteri; Salmoniformes; Salmonidae
Description: lncRNA (ENSOMYG00000065716.1)
Source: RNAcentral
AGGGAAAAGAGAAGGAGAGGAAAGGAAGGCAGAAGGAAAGGAGGGCAGAGGGAAAAGAGAAGUAGAGGAAAGGAAGGCAGAAGGAAAGGAGGGCAGAGGGAAAAGAGAAGGAGAGGAAGGCAGAAGGAAAGGAGGGCAGAGGGAAAAGAGAAGGAGAGGAAGGCAGAAGGAAAGGAGGGCAGAGGGAAAAGAGAAGGAGAGGAAAGGAAGGCAGAAGGAAAGGAGGGCAGAGGGAAAAGAGAAGGAGAGGAAAGGAAGGCAGAAGGAAAGGAGGGUAGAGGGAAAAGAGAAGGAGAGGAAAGGAAGGCAGAGGGAAAAGAGAAGGAGAGGAAAGGAAGGCAGAAGGAAAGGAGGGCAGAGGGAAAAGAGAAGGAGAGGAAAGGAAGGCAGAAGGAAAGGAGGGUAGAGGGAAAAGAGAAGGAGAGGAAAGGAGGGCAGAGGGAAAAGAGAAGUAGAGGAAAGGAAGGCAGAAGGAAAGGAGGGCAGAGGGAAAAGAGAAGGAGAGGAAGGCAGAAGGAAAGGAGGGCAGAGGGAAAAGAGAAGGAGAGGAAGGCAGAAGGAAAGGAGGGCAGAGGGAAAAGAGAAGGAGAGGAAAGGAAGGCAGAAGGAAAGGAGGGCAGAGGGAAAAGAGAAGGAGAGGAAGGCAGAAGGAAAGGAGGGCAGAGGGAAAAGAGAAGGAGAGGAAGGCAGAAGGAAAGGAGGGCAGAGGGAAAAGAGAAGGAGAGGAAAGGAAGGCAGAAGGAAAGGAGGGCAGAGGGAAAAGAGAAGGAGAGGAAAGGAAGGCAGAAGGAAAGGAGGGUAGAGGGAAAAGAGAAGGAGAGGAAAGGAAGGCAGAGGGAAAGGAGGGCAGAGGGAAAAGAGAAGGAGAGGAAAGGAAGGCAGAAGGAAAGGAGGGCAGAGGGAAAAGAGAAGGAGAGGAAAGGAAGGCAGAAGGAAAGGAGGGUAGAGGGAAAAGAGAAGGAGAGGAAAGGAGGGCAGAGGGAAAAGAGAAGUAGAGGAAAGGAAGGCAGAAGGAAAGGAGGGCAGAGGGAAAAGAGAAGGAGAGGAAGGCAGAAGGAAAGGAGGGCAGAGGGAAAAGAGAAGGAGAGGAAGGCAGAAGGAAAGGAGGGCAGAGGGAAAAGAGAAGGAGAGGAAAGGAAGGCAGAAGGAAAGGAGGGCAGAGGGAAAAGAGAAGGAGAGGAAGGCAGAAGGAAAGGAGGGCAGAGGGAAAAGAGAGGAGCAUGA